CCUACGGGUGGCAGCAGUGGGGAAUCUUCCGCAAUGGGCGAAAGCCUGACGGAGCAACGCCGCGUGAUCGAAUGAAGGCCUUCGGGUUGUAAAGAUCUGUUGACAGGGACGAAUAAGCCAUGCGAAUAGUUUGGUGUAUGACGGUACCUGUUUAGAAAGCUCCGGCUAACUACGUGCCAGCAGCCGCGGUAAUACGUAGGGAGCAAGCGUUGUCCGGAAUUACUGGGCGUAAAGGGCGCGUAGGUGGGUGCUUAAGUCAGGUGUGAAAACUCUGGGCUCAACCUGGAGACUGCACUUGAAACUGGGUAUCUUGAGGGCAGGAGAGGAAAGUGGAAUUCCUAGUGUAGCGGUGAAAUGCAUAGAUAUCACGCAGAACUCCGAUUGCGAAGGCAGCAUACCGGCGCUCAACUGACGCUCAUGCACGAAAGUGUGGGUAUCGAACAGGAUUAGAUACCCGUGUAGUC
RNAcentral lists this ribosomal RNA (464 nucleotides) under uncultured bacterium. Its description in RNAcentral is "partial 16S ribosomal RNA". It matches the Rfam family "Bacterial small subunit ribosomal RNA", at positions 338 to 795 of the family's 1533-position model. The record is from RNAcentral.